GUGGGGAAUAUUGGGCAAUGGGCGCAAGCCUGACCCAGCAACGCCGCGUGAGGGAAGAAGGCUUUCGGGUUGUAAACCUCUGUCCUUGGUGACGAAACAAAUGACGGUAGCCAAGGAGGAAGCCCCGGCUAACUACGUGCCAGCAGCCGCGGUAAUACGUAGGGGGCGAGCGUUGUCCGGAAUUACUGGGCGUAAAGGGUGCGUAGGUGGCCUUUUAAGUUGGAUGUGAAAUACCCGGGCUUAACUUGGGGGGUGCAUCCAAAACUGGGAGGCUAGAGUGCAGGAGAGGAAAGCGGAAUUCCUAGUGUAGCGGUGAAAUGCGUAGAUAUUAGGAGGAACACCAGUGGCGAAGGCGGCUCACUGGCUCGAUACUGACGCUGAGGUGCGAAAGCGUGGGGAGCAAACAGGAUUAGAAACCCGAGUAGUCC
RNAcentral lists this ribosomal RNA (428 nucleotides) under uncultured bacterium. Its description in RNAcentral is "partial 16S ribosomal RNA". It matches the Rfam family "Bacterial small subunit ribosomal RNA", at positions 354 to 796 of the family's 1533-position model. The record is from RNAcentral.